AAAGCAUCGAGGUUCUCUUGGAAAUGUUGGAAAAGAUGUAUUGAUGUUCCUUGAAGAGGCCAUUGGAUAUGUUGUUUCAGAUGAACUUAUUGAGAGUUUGAUUACUGGACAAAGACAAUUGGAGUUGAUGGAUUGUCCAUAGAUGCCACAUGAAGUCUUCAACAGUAUCUGGAAUGGACAACUUUAGUACUUGGAAAAGAUGACAAAAAUUCUACUACAUUGUUGCAUAAAAUUGCACUCUUAAUCUCAUCUCAAGAGGUAGUAUCAUAAUAGUCCUUUUUUUCUUUUAGUUUUUUAGUUGCUAUUUGUCUAAUGUUAAUCCAGCAUAUAAAAACGAGCAUUGUUACAUUGCUAGGCUUUGAUGAUUGGCUGGAUUCAUUAAAGGUUAGAUUAUUUGUUAGCCUUG
Long non-coding RNA from Dioscorea cayenensis subsp. rotundata (Guinea yam), 406 nucleotides. RefSeq lists it as uncharacterized. The transcript has 3 exons. Lineage: Eukaryota; Viridiplantae; Streptophyta; Magnoliopsida; Dioscoreales; Dioscoreaceae. The record is from RefSeq and is a predicted model, not a curated record.